Small nucleolar RNA from Rhinolophus ferrumequinum (greater horseshoe bat), 134 nucleotides. Ensembl annotates it as small nucleolar RNA, H/ACA box 64. Its record names the gene SNORA64. NCBI's taxonomy places the organism in Eukaryota, Metazoa, Chordata, Mammalia, Chiroptera, Rhinolophidae. The record is from Ensembl.
ACUCUCUCAGCUCUGCACAGUUACACUUGUUUUUAUACGUGUGACUUUCGUAAUGGGGAGAGAGAGAAAGGCUCUCCUCGGGACCUCAGGUUGGCCUCACAGUGGCCACUCUUGCCUUGAGGGGUGCUACAGGC